AGAGGAAUCAGGCUGGUGAAGAGUCAUGGGAGUUUUCCCCUUCUGCUGCGACAAGCUCCCCUUCCCACUUUUUCCCAGAAACAGAAGAGGACUGAAACAGGUGGAGCAGCAGCAAGCUGCACACAGUUCAAUCUCAGAUUGCUUGGGAAACGCCCUGUAGAGGAUGGGACUUAGAUGGCUGUGAGCAGGUGGGGAUUUUCAGUCUUGGCAACUGAUUCAUGAGGAAAGACCUACCCGGGAUGAGCUGCUGUGCUCAUUAGGCCUGGCACUCAGCCAAAUCUGUGAGGGUUAUGUUUUUGCUAAUACUGUAAAGGGUUAACUCCAGCUUUGCACAGUGUGAAUGACUGCUGACUCACUCUGUGGUGUGUGUGUGUGUGCUGAAAUAAGAAUCUUGCCCACUGACCAGAUCCUGUCCUCCUCUUACGCUGCAAUAUCAAAACCAACAUAAAAUGAUCCUUCAAAAUUUGCAUGCCUCUGGUUUUGGGGGUGCAGUUUCUCAACCAACCAGUGUGUACAAAUAUGCACACCCCGUGGGAAAUGUUCAUCACACAAAGAAGCAUUUCAUUAGGCAAAUAGCUUGCAAAAACAUGCACAUUUGCACGAAAAUUGUGAUAAAUUUUCAUGAUUUUGUGUGUUUUUAAAGAUCGCAAAUUGCUGCAGAAACGUUGUUAUUCUGAGAUUGGAAAACCGAAACUGACAAAGGGAAAGCCAAAAUCGAUUUAUUUGUCCACCCCUAGUGUCUCCCUACUUUAGUGAGUGGACUGGCUGGCAUACAGAUGUGGCUGCAUCAUCAGCCUGUGAUUGGUGGGAAUCAUUGGUGUUUCUUUUCAUGUUGGGGGCGUGGCUGUCAUAGCUGCUCCAAUUUUUGUGGUGGCAUCACUUUUACCUUCUCAGCCUUAUUGCUGGGCAAGUCUAGGAUACCAAUGAAGUUGGUGCCCAGUAUAUAUAUACCGGUAUAUAUAUAUAUAUAUAUAUAUAUAUAUAUAUAUAUAUAUUUUUCUGUCCAGUGGAUUUAAUGCUGUUAGAAGGGACUUUGCUUCAGAAUCACGGACUGAAAAUAACGUUGGUUUCUUCUGGAUUUGGGCCAUAUUCACACCAUAUAUUUAAAGCACUAUAAUACUACUUUUGACAGUCAUGGCUCCUUCCCCCAAGGAAUUCUGGGAGCUCUGGUUUGUUAUGGGUGCACAAAGACCCCUAUUCUCCUCAUACAGCUACAGUUUUCAGAGCGGUUUAACAAUCAAUCCCUCUUCACAGAGAACUCUGGGAAUUGUAGCACUGGGAGGGGGGAAAGGGGUCUCCAAACAACUCUCAGCUCCCUCAGCAAACUGCUUAAUGUGGUAGAAUGCUUUAAAUUUGUGGUUUGAAUGCGGUCUUUGUACCGUCCAUCUCCUAGUCUCUACAAUGGCGCACUUAUGGGGUAGGGGGAAGAGAGGAAACCUAAUUAGGCAGGGAAGAGAAGACCCAAUACUCCCCACUGCAACCAUCAAAUCAUCACCAUGGGAGACUCGAGUCUAAACAGAGCAGAAGGCCUCUGUGCCCUCAUCUCCUGUGCUUUUUCACCAGUAUGAGCAUAAGUGGCCCUCCAGCAUGUCAGGAAUCAUAGAAUUGUUGAGUUGGAAGGGACCCUGAGGAUCAUCUAGCACCCUGCAAUGCAGGAAUAUGCAGCUGGCCAGUAUGAGGACUACAGGAUCUUUGUCCAAAACUCAGCUGUGAACCAGGAUGUCCUCAGUUCAGAUCUGCCCUCGGCCACAAACUCAAGAGCUACCCUUAGGUAACUGCCUAUUCGCUUGGCCUCAGUCUUCCCAUCUGCAGUACGGGGAUAACUAUACUGACCUACCUCAAAUUACACAAGGCUGUUAGAGUGAUUAGUCAAAGCGUACUGGACUCUCAACCACACCAGAUGAAUGUUAAGUUUUCUUGUUGCUAGAAUAUAGUAUUUCCAGUUAAUUUCCUCAUGUUUUUGGAAGUGGUGAAAUAGUAAAUGCCAAGGUCCUUUGGAAGAUGUGAGGACAUGAGAUUUCUACUGAAUGCCCCUGGGGAAUUCUUAAAAGUGCAAGGAGUGAAACGGAGCUCCAAGGUUUAGCAAUGGCACAUUCAAAUCUUGAGAUUUCACACACUCUGCUAGCCCAGGAGGGACUGUACCAAGUCUGAGUAUCACACACUAGAGUUGAGAUCAUGUAUUUAAGCUGUCAUGGUGUUGAUUUCUCCACAACAAUGGUAUGGGUGGGUAGACGCAGUAGCUCCAACGGAGUCUAAUAGUAACCUUGCAAUUUCAAAAAAUGAAAAGAAAAAAAUGGGGAAAAAAUGCAGCCAAUCCUGUUUGAGAGUGAGACUUAAUCUGAAUCAAGUGGCAAUUAGCUCCAGAACCUACCGGUAUUUAUCAUGCAGUGCCUCAGCCCCCCUGGGUGAAAUGCAAAGGUGAUUCGUCAAACUGAAGCUAUGCUUCAAAACAUGUGCCCAAAACGCUCUUCUCUCACUACUAACUGGUCCGAAACAUGCACUUGUGGGGGAAAGACUUUGGGGGUGGGCAAAGCACUUGACUCUCAGCCCUAGACCCCCCCCCCCCCGCUGCGAGAUGAAACCAUUUUGAAAGCACUGCAAAAAAUCAUAGCUUACCAAAGGUUCAAGAUUAUUUUAACAAAUAACAAUGUGCUGAUACAGUACAGUCAAAGUGCAUGGAACUUUCCAGAGCUACGUAAGACCAGGUCCCUGCCCUGCACAGCUUACAAUCUGCAUGUAACAAGAGGGGAAGAGAGGGCAGAAGCAAUGGUGGGGAAGAAGAGAAGAGGGGAGGGAGGAGAGAGGGGAGGAUUACAGUUCAUGAUGUUUCAUAUGAUCUAGCAGCUUAGCAGCCAUAGAGAAGGUAAUUAAUGAAAGAGAUAAAAGCCUCUGCAGGAUAUAUGGAUCGUGUUAAAGAGGUCAGAGAUGAUAUUCAGGCAGCUUGAGGGAGCCUGUGAUGUUCUCAUGCAACUCUUUAUUCCUAUAUCCUCCAGAGAGACACCGACCAUCAAAACAAGUCUGAAUGUAGAGGUUGGAUGGAUCCAGCACCUUCAAUGGCACCUUGGAAGGGUUGUUUUUUCGAAACUGGGGCUCUGGUGCUGUUACACACACACACACACACACACACACACACACACACACUCAUUUCAGCCAGCAAAGGGGGUUCUGUGCUGCCCCAGCCUUUUGCCACCCAAUUCCACCCAACUCUGCCUCCCCUUUGCCAACAACAUCCCUUAAGAGACUGGUGGAAAAUGAUGCUUUGGAAAGCAGAAUAUCUCUCUCUCUCUCUCUCUCUUCCUCUAAGUGGGAGCUGCUAUAGCCUGUAGAAAGGUGAAGUGCCCAGAUACACACACACAACUAACUAGACAUGGAAUACGGCGCUAUGGGAAGAAAAGUGCAGACAACAGACAGGCACGCAGAAGGAACGCAGCCCCUGGCACCGCAGCAGAGGCCAAUCUGUAACACCCCUCGCCCCCCCCC
Podarcis lilfordi (Lilford's wall lizard) is the source of this 3480-nucleotide non-coding RNA. The record is from the annotation of a GenBank genome assembly. NCBI's taxonomy places the organism in Eukaryota, Metazoa, Chordata, Lepidosauria, Squamata, Lacertidae.